CCUACGGGAGGCUGCAGUGAGGAAUAUUGGUCAAUGGACGAGAGUCUGAACCAGCCAAGUAGCGUGAAGGAUGACUGCCCUAUGGGUUGUAAACUUCUUUUAUAUGGGAAUAAAACGUUCCACGUGUGGGAUUUUGUAUGUACCAUAUGAAUAAGGAUCGGCUAACUCCGUGCCAGCAGCCGCGGUAAUACGGAGGAUCCGAGCGUUAUCCGGAUUUAUUGGGUUUAAAGGGAGCGUAGGUGGAUUGUUAAGUCAGUUGUGAAAGUUUGCGGCUCAACCGUAAAAUUGCAGUUGAAACUGGCAGUCUUGAGUGCAGUAGAGGUGGGCGGAAGUCGUGGUGUAGCGGUGAAAUGCUUAGAUAUCACGAAGAACUCCGAUUGCGAAGGCAGUUCACUGGACUGCAACUGACACUGAGGCUCGAAAGUGUGGGUAUCAAACAGGAUUAGAUACCCGGGUAGUC
RNAcentral lists this ribosomal RNA (460 nucleotides) under uncultured bacterium. RNAcentral describes it as "partial 16S ribosomal RNA". It matches the Rfam family "Bacterial small subunit ribosomal RNA", at positions 338 to 795 of the family's 1533-position model. The record is from RNAcentral.